RNAcentral lists this ribosomal RNA (253 nucleotides) under uncultured bacterium. RNAcentral's name for it is "partial 16S ribosomal RNA". It matches the Rfam family "Bacterial small subunit ribosomal RNA", at positions 524 to 776 of the family's 1533-position model. The record is from RNAcentral.
UACGUAGGGGGCAAGCGUUGUCCGGAAUCAUUGGGCGUAAAGCGCGUGUAGGCGGUUCAGUAAGUCUGCUGUGAAAGUCCAGGGCUUAACCCUGGGAUGCCGGUGGAUACUGCUGGACUAGAGUGCGGAAGAGGCGAGUGGAAUUCCCGGUGUAGCGGUGAAAUGCGCAGAUAUCGGGAGGAACACCAAUUGCGAAGGCAGCUCGCUGGGACGUUACUGACGCUGAGACGCGAAAGCGUGGGGAGCAAACAGG